RNAcentral lists this ribosomal RNA (404 nucleotides) under Bacteroides fragilis. RNAcentral describes it as "bacterial SSU rRNA". It matches the Rfam family "Bacterial small subunit ribosomal RNA", at positions 1 to 392 of the family's 1533-position model. Lineage: Bacteria; Pseudomonadati; Bacteroidota; Bacteroidia; Bacteroidales; Bacteroidaceae. The record is from RNAcentral.
CUUUUACAAUGAAGAGUUUGAUCCUGGCUCAGGAUGAACGCUAGCUACAGGCUUAACACAUGCAAGUCGAGGGGCAUCAGGAAGAAAGCUUGCUUUCUUUGCUGGCGACCGGCGCACGGGUGAGUAACACGUAUCCAACCUGCCCUUUACUCGGGGAUAGCCUUUCGAAAGAAAGAUUAAUACCCGAUGGCAUAAUGAUUCCGCAUGGUUUCAUUAUUAAAGGAUUCCGGUAAAGGAUGGGGAUGCGUUCCAUUAGGUUGUUGGUGGGGUAACGGCCCACCAAGCCUUCGAUGGAUAGGGGUUCUGAGAGGAAGGUCCCCCACAUUGGAACUGAGACACGGUCCAAACUCCUACGGGAGGCAGCAGUGAGGAAUAUUGGUCAAUGGGCGCUAGCCUGAACCAGC